CCUACGGGGGGCAGCAGUGAGGAAUAUUGGUCAAUGGGCGCGAGUCUGAACCAGCCAAGUAGCGUGAAGGAUGACUGCCCUAUGGGUUGUAAACUUCUUUUAUAAAGGAAUAAAGUGAGGUACGUGUGCCUUUUUGUAUGUACUUUAUGAAUAAGGAUCGGCUAACUCCGUGCCAGCAGCCGCGGUAAUACGGAGGUUCCGAGCGUUAUCCGGAUUUAUUUGGUUUAAAGGGGGCGUAGGUGGGUUGUUAAGUCAGUUGUGGAAUUAUGCGGCUCAACCGUAGAAAUGCAAUUGAUAAUGGCAGACUUGGGUACAGUUGAGGUAAGGGGAAUUGGUGGUGGAACGGUGAAAAGCUU
RNAcentral lists this ribosomal RNA (356 nucleotides) under uncultured bacterium. RNAcentral describes it as "partial 16S ribosomal RNA". It matches the Rfam family "Bacterial small subunit ribosomal RNA", at positions 338 to 691 of the family's 1533-position model. The record is from RNAcentral.